This 253-nucleotide ribosomal RNA is filed under the name uncultured bacterium. RNAcentral describes it as "partial 16S ribosomal RNA". It matches the Rfam family "Bacterial small subunit ribosomal RNA", at positions 524 to 776 of the family's 1533-position model. The record is from RNAcentral.
UACGGAGGGUGCGAGCGUUAAUCGGAAUUACUGGGCGUAAAGGGUGCGUAGGCGGUUUAAUAAGUUAAGUGUGAAAGUCCUGGGCUUAACCCGGGGUAGUCACUUAAGACUGUUAGACUGGAGUAUAGGAGAGGGUGGUGGAAUUUCCGGUGUAGCGGUGAAAUGCGUAGAGAUCGGAAGGAACAUCAGUGGCGAAGGCGGCCACCUGGCCUAAUACUGACGCUGAGGCACGAAAGCGUGGGGGGCAAACAGG